GGAAAAUUUCAUGCUUGCAUCACAAACCGAAGUAUUCUGGGUGUAUUUUGCAGUUAUCUGCUCCACUAUCUGACUCAGUGGUUCAUCAAAACCUCUGGGGAUGUCCUGUGGAUUCUGUGGAUCCUGUGGGUUGCAGGGUGGGUCCUACCUAGACCAGGCUGAUCCUGGACCAUCCCACAGAUGCUCAAUCAGAUCUGGAUGUGGGGAGUGUGGAACCCAGAUGUUCAGAGGGAGAUGAUGCCACAUCUGGUCCAGCCGAUGGAAGGUCUUGAAGUUCUCUGACUGGCCUCGACUGAAGAUGGUCGUCUCACUGGAUUUAAGGUUCAGAUGCUCAGUAACAAACUCCACCAAUGUGCCAACAGGGAAGCUUUAGGUUUAUUAAAUGUUGCUUUGAAGGUUUCACUGUUUUUCUUUGUGAAUGCAAUGCGCUCCAACUGAAACUUGAAUUAGAACUUAGAAGUAAAUCCUUCCAUCUGAAAGGAUUUAGUUGCAUUAAUAACCUCAUAACAUUCUAAUUUUUAUUCCAGUCUUGGCUGGAAAUAGAAUCUCUGUAUUGAUUCAGGUAAAAACUGAACUUCACAGCAUGUUGGAGCAAAACAACCAGAUGAAAACUGUGAUGGUGUUGGAUUGUCAGACCGUAAUGUUGCAGCUCAAAGCAGCUUUUCUAGCUCAGUUCAUUCUGACAUUCAGCUAUGAAUCAACACAGCAGAUGGUGAUCCAUACUGUGGAAGUCUCACAUCUCCUGAUUUAAUGGAGCUGCUUUGCACUUUUUACACUGUUUAUUCACCAACACUUUAUUUAAUAAAAGUCCCAUCUAGUUUUUAUGAGGAAUGUGAUGUUUUAAUUUCUCUGUGAAUAACUGCAGUCUAAUGCAACAGCUGGAAUUGUAACAUCUGUCCUGAUAUUGAUCAUGAAGUAUUGAUCAGAAUACUUAUGGU
Long non-coding RNA from Amphiprion ocellaris (clown anemonefish), 938 nucleotides. The record is from Ensembl. NCBI's taxonomy places the organism in Eukaryota, Metazoa, Chordata, Actinopteri, Pomacentridae.